AAGACUGUACUCGUACAGGAUCGUUUCUAUAGUAGAAACGUCUGAUUUGCACUAACAAAUUAGACAAUAAUCUAAUCCAGGAUGAUAAGAAAUACGCAUCCACUCGUAAAGCGAGAUAAGUUCUUCCACUGUGAUCGCCGAAAGGCUUGAUUCGGUGCGAAGAGUGAAGACCGUCCUCUAGUCAGCUCUUCACAGAGCAGGCCAAGAGUGAGAGUGGAUGUGAGGUUGACUGGAC
This 235-nucleotide small nucleolar RNA is filed under the name Stylonychia lemnae. RNAcentral's name for it is "ACEA small nucleolar RNA U3". It matches the Rfam family "ACEA small nucleolar RNA U3". From Rfam's summary of the family: Small nucleolar RNAs (snoRNAs) are involved in the processing and modification of rRNA in the nucleolus. There are two main classes of snoRNAs: the box C/D class, and the box H/ACA class. Lineage: Eukaryota; Ciliophora; Spirotrichea; Sporadotrichida; Oxytrichidae. The record is from Rfam by way of RNAcentral.